UACGGAGGGUGCAAGCGUUAUCCGGAUUCACUGGGUUUAAAGGGUGCGUAGGUGGGCAGGUAAGUCAGUGGUGAAAUCUCAGAGCUCAACUCUGAAACUGCAUUGGAUACUAUUCGGCUUGAGGUCUGGAGGGGGGACUGGAAUUCUCGGUGUAGCAGUGAAAUGCGUAGAUAUCGAGAGGAACACCAGUGGCGAAGGCGAGUCCCUGGACAGAUCCUGACGCUGAGGCACGAAAGCUAGGGGAGCAAACAGG
This 253-nucleotide ribosomal RNA is filed under the name uncultured bacterium. Its description in RNAcentral is "partial 16S ribosomal RNA". It matches the Rfam family "Bacterial small subunit ribosomal RNA", at positions 524 to 776 of the family's 1533-position model. The record is from RNAcentral.